Molecule: long non-coding RNA, 554 nt
Organism: Armigeres subalbatus
Lineage: Eukaryota; Metazoa; Arthropoda; Insecta; Diptera; Culicidae
Exons: 2
Source: RefSeq, a predicted model, not a curated record
UAUAGAAGAGAUCCUGCUUCCCUUAACUCGGUUUUAUGUGCAGCAUUUGAAAUAUAUUUAUUGUUAAUAGAAUUUAAAUGUCAAACAUUUAUGAUUCAUUUAAAUAGCAAGUGAGUUUUCAAUGCAAUUACCAAUAAUUAAUUAAAUAUCAACACACGCAUAUGAAAUACAUUAGCAUUAAAAUAAUAUUGUUUGAAAAUCACCAACAUGGCGAAGGAGCAAAUCAGAAUUUGCUUCCAGAAUACGACGGACCCACUCAGCAUAGCAGCAUACUAGAGCAGAAAAAAGAUUCCCAACAUCGUAAAGGAAAAAUCCCCACCGAGCGGAUGCUGUUUUAUUUCGGCAAAAUGCACGCAAAGUUGUACAAGGUGAUGAGCUUUCUGGUGCAGGAACGGCAGGAACUCUUGCGCGACAUCGAAUAACUCUGUUCGAUUCGCCUUGAUCCACCCUGCAAAAAUGGAGGUGCCGUCGUUCAUCACUCAGCAUUCGAGCAUGCAAUGAUGAAUAAAAAUCUUCCCAACAUCCAAAAUCUUGGAUCACAUUGAUGGAGGUAA